Meriones unguiculatus (Mongolian gerbil) is the source of this 1422-nucleotide long non-coding RNA. RefSeq lists it as uncharacterized. The record is from RefSeq and is a predicted model, not a curated record. The transcript is spliced from 3 exons. Lineage: Eukaryota; Metazoa; Chordata; Mammalia; Rodentia; Muridae.
GGCAAAGAGGAUGGACAUCAGAAGAAGAAGAAAACAGGAAACAACCUAGGAACCUACCACAGAGGGCCUCUGAAAGCCUCUGCCCUUCAGACUAUCAAAGCAGAUGCUGAGCCGGAUGGGCAACUGUUGGCAGGUGAAUGGAAUUUUAGGUAUCCUGUGCCCACAAAUCAACAAGGAACAACCUUGAGAAGAACAAUGUCCUUUUUCUCUUGAGGAUUCUUUGACAACCAGACAGGUCAACUUCUGGCAGCACCCCCAGUUUGCCUCAAGAAGAUGAUGAACAUCAAAGGACCUCCUAUGGAGUUGCUUCUACGUGGCAAGUUAGCCACCAGAACAAAGAAAAUGCCCUCAUUUCUGCCGCAGACAGAAUUCUGCCUAAAACGGGCAAGUUUGUACGCAGGCCAAGUGGAUUGCUGAGCUCUGCCAACACAGGGUAAGCAAGUCCUUCAUAGUUCCUGCUUCACAAAUAUGUCUGUCAGAUACACUGGGCCAGAAGGCUGAAGAUGAUGCUCCAUCCUAAUAGAGGUUUGGGGUGACUGUCCAGGUGGCAAACUGUCUCUAUUAUAUUUAUUUUUAUUUUGGAAGCUGCUAGCUUGGACUUUCUGUUUACUCACGUAAUUACUUUUAUUCCUUCUCAAGUCUCUGAUGGGGUUGAAGACCAAAUAGUUAUAGUUCUACAAUUAAGCUUAGUUGCUUAGGAAUUAAGAAGAUGUUUUAAGGUCUAUAUAGAUGUUUUCAGGUUGGUAUAUACAUGAUAUGAUAGAGAUAGAUUUAGGUUCAGAAACUUAGACUCUCAUAGAUAAGAGAUAAUAUUUUCUUCAAGGUUGCCAAAUGUCUUUAGACUAGAUAUUAUGUAUGUAAUUCUUACCUACUGCAUUUUAUAGUUGUUUCAUACUUGUCCUACUACACAUAGUUUUAAAAAAUGGCUUUUUUAAAAAUUAGACAAAAAGGGGAAAUUAUAAUGGCAUGACGUGGUGCUUUGUAUUUGAUUGUUAAAUUUUUUGCUCCCUACGAUCUGGUUGCUGCCCAGAUCAGCACAUUUCCACAUACACCUGUCCUUGUUGUGUAAAUCUUAUUCUACCCAAUUUAAAGUUGAUUGGUUAAUAAAAAUGCAGAAGCCUCGGCAAGGUAGAAGUGAGGGGCAGAGCUAAGGUUCUCAGACUUUGGGGAGAGAAGGAUCUUGGGAAGGAGGAGAGAAGGAAGGAAGGAGGCAGAGCCACAUGGGUUAUUGUGGAGAGAAACACAUGGCCGGAUCAGCAUCAAUGGAGGAAAGCAAUCCAGAUGAGAAACAUAAGCAAGUAUUUAUGUAAUUAUGGAUGGGAAGUAGCCAAGAUUGAAAUUUUUAGAGCAAUUUGCAUGGGAUGUGGGGCUGGGAGGAAAAAGUAGCUUAGGAGGCAUUAUCUGCCAUGCCCUAUGUGAAGU